AUUGAACGCUGGCGGCAUGCCUUACACAUGCAAGUCGAACGGUAACAGGUUAAGCUGACGAGUGGCGAACGGGUGAGUAAUAUAUCGGAACGUGCCCAGUCGUGGGGGAUAACUGCUCGAAAGAGCAGCUAAUACCGCAUACGACCUGAGGGUGAAAGCGGGGGAUCGCAAGACCUCGCGCGAUUGGAGCGGCCGAUAUCAGAUUAGGUAGUUGGUGGGGUAAAGGCCCACCAAGCCAACGAUCUGUAGCUGGUCUGAGAGGACGACCAGCCACACUGGGACUGAGACACGGCCCAGACUCCUACGGGAGGCAGCAGUGGGGAAUUUUGGACAAUGGGCGCAAGCCUGAUCCAGCCAUGCCGCGUGCGGGAAGAAGGCCUUCGGGUUGUAAACCGCUUUUGUCAGGGAAGAAAAGGUUCUGGUUAAUACCUGGGACUCAUGACGGUACCUGAAGAAUAAGCACCGGCUAACUACGUGCCAGCCGCCGCCGUAA
Molecule: ribosomal RNA, 493 nt
Filed under: uncultured bacterium
Lineage: Bacteria
Description: partial 16S ribosomal RNA
Rfam family: Bacterial small subunit ribosomal RNA
Source: RNAcentral